CCUGAACGCUGGCGGCGUGGCUAAGACAUGCAAGUCGUACGGGAUAGCAAUAUCCAGUGGCGCACGGGUGAGUAAUGUAUAGCUAAUCUACCCCGAAUUCUGGGAUAGCUGACCGAAAGGGCAGGUAAUACCAGAUGAUAUAACAGUGUCGCAUGGCACUGUUCUCAAAGGGCAACUGAUUUGGGAUGAGGCUAUAUUGU
This 200-nucleotide ribosomal RNA is filed under the name uncultured bacterium. Its description in RNAcentral is "partial 16S ribosomal RNA". It matches the Rfam family "Bacterial small subunit ribosomal RNA", at positions 30 to 239 of the family's 1533-position model. The record is from RNAcentral.